GGAGAAACGGGGUCAGAGUGAUUCCUUCCUUCACAUAUCAGACAUAAGCUUUUUGGCCCUGGGCAAUGUAUGGGGCCUUUAACAGCGGAUACAGGUUAGUUACUAUAUACAUGGUAAAACAGCACUACUUUGUAUCCUAGACUUUCUAGACUUGGUAUAGCUUAUGGAAUACGCUACCAAAAGCCAUACCUCAUCAAUCCCUAUAUCCUAGUUUUGCUUUGCCUAUGCAAUGCCAAACCAAGGGUAUCCCGCUAAAUGAAUUUCCUAAAAAUCCCUCUUCAUCUAAAAUAUAUUUUGCCUAUUUAUAGGAGAUUGGUCAUUAGCAGCUUUGUAGAAAAGAAAUAAAUUGUGUUAUCUGCUUUCAUUCCUUUCAGGUAGCACCUUCCAUUAGUUAAUCAAGAAAUAAAUUAAAGGCCAUGUGUAUUAUCUUCUUCUCCAACCAUCAGCAAAUCAGUGAUUAAUUUUGUAUAAAUUCUGUGAUCAGUUCCACUGGACAUCUUCUCCUUCCAAGUUGGAUCACUCCCAAAUGUAAAAGAUUGCUACUUCUCAGUCUAGUGUUUUUGUCCUGCAUUGUUCCACAUGUAUGAUAUUUUUGAGGAAAUGUUGAGAGAUUUGAAAUCAGGCAACUGUCAUAAUUCUGUAGGAACCCAAGCAUUUCAGAUGGAUUUCAUAAUUUGAAUCUUUGAGUUGCAGUCUUUGAUGAAAAUUGGGAAAUCCUUAGUUAGUAUUGUAACCACAUACAAGUCCCGGUGCUCACUGCCUGAGAAGCCUAUUAAAAGGUAAGGUUAGUGAAGGGAAAGCAGCUUUGUUAAUCAAAUAGCAGUUUGGAAAUGGCCUGGCUCAUGCCUCUAAAACACAAUUUCGAACGAAUUUAAGAAGGGAAACUAAGUACGAGAAGCACACGAGAAUGGUCCGGGAUAUGGGGUCUACAUGUGUUGCUUCAAUAACCAACUUGAGUUAGUGUCCAUCUGAAGUACAGGCUGACACCAUCCCAGCAAUGACUGGGUUGUAGCGUAAUGGGCUUGAAGUGAUCUCCAAAUGGGAGGGAAUUCCUCAGCUGAGUAUCCAGGCCUGGUUCAUUUCAAGAUUAACCCCGGAAAUGUUAAGGCAGCAAAUAAUUAGAUAACCAAAUGCACUGCCAGGAAGGGAGGGGAAGGAUUCUGAAGCACAUCUCAAAGCUAAGACUAGAG
RNAcentral lists this long non-coding RNA (1190 nucleotides) under Macaca mulatta (Rhesus monkey). RNAcentral's name for it is "lncRNA (ENSMMUG00000049503.1)". Lineage: Eukaryota; Metazoa; Chordata; Mammalia; Primates; Cercopithecidae. The record is from RNAcentral.